RNAcentral lists this ribosomal RNA (274 nucleotides) under uncultured bacterium. RNAcentral's name for it is "partial 16S ribosomal RNA". It matches the Rfam family "Bacterial small subunit ribosomal RNA", at positions 523 to 796 of the family's 1533-position model. The record is from RNAcentral.
AUACGGAGGGUGCAAGCGUUACUCGGAAUCACUGGGCGUAAAGCGCGCGCAGGCGGCUAUUUAAGUUGGAUGUGAAAGCCUAUGGCUCAACCAUAGAACUGCAUCCAAAACUAUUUAGCUAGAGUGUGGGAGAGGAAGAUGGAAUUAGUUGUGUAGGGGUAAAAUCCGUAGAGAUAACUAGGAAUACCAAAAGCGAAGGCAAUCUUCUGGCACACUACUGACGCUGAGGCGCGAAAGCGUGGGGAGCAAACAGGAUUAGAAACCCUAGUAGUCC